Molecule: long non-coding RNA, 610 nt
Organism: Labeo rohita (rohu)
Lineage: Eukaryota; Metazoa; Chordata; Actinopteri; Cypriniformes; Cyprinidae
Exons: 3
Source: RefSeq, a predicted model, not a curated record
CUGCUGUAAAUAGCGCAUCACACAGACAGAACACAACUGCUGCUGACCGGAGAGAGAAGCAGAACGGCUGAUUACUGCAAAUUCGGUCUACAAUGUGGUCCACUUGUCUUUGCACCCUGGGAAGGGCAAUGCUGUUGCAUGGCAGUAUUUUUUUCACCACUGAUGGGAAUAAGUAUACUGGCAGACGGGGAGUGAGCAGAAGAUGAGGACGGUGGUGCAGAGUGAUGGCCAUCAGCCCUGCAUGUCAACAGCUUCAUUCAGUCCAAAAUGAUGUUUAAAUGGAGGACUUCACAGAGAGGGUCAGUGGCCUGUUUGUCACCACCCAUGUGUCCUGCAUUUAGGGGUGAGGGUUAUAAGACACUUGUUGUUGUUUUUGCUAAUUUUAAGAUGGUUUACUUUUUAUAUAGUUUUAAGAUAAAUCAAGUUCUCUCUUAGGACAUUGAUUCCAAAUCCAGCUCUCAAGAUGCAUCUGUUUGUUUCAUUUAUAUUCUUGCACACUUAAAAUGCUUUCAUGGCUGUAAAAUGUUGAUGCACUGUACUCUGGGUAGCAAACACAAUACUAAAAUGUUUUGAAAUGUUUUAAUAAAAAUACUUUUGUAAAUAUGUUUGG